Molecule: ribosomal RNA, 193 nt
Filed under: uncultured bacterium
Lineage: Bacteria
Description: partial 16S ribosomal RNA
Rfam family: Bacterial small subunit ribosomal RNA
Source: RNAcentral
CCUACGGGAGGCAGCAGUGGGGAAUAUUGGACAAUGGGCGAAAGCCUGAUCCAGCCAUGCCGCGUGUGUGAAGAAGGUCUUCGGAUUGUAAAGCACUUUAAGUUGGGAGGAAGGGCAGUAAGUUAAUACCUUGCUGUCUUGACGUUACCGACAGAAUAAGCACCGGCUAACUUCGUGCCAGCAGCCGCGGUAA